GAUGAACGCUGGCGGCGUGCCUAAUACAUGCAAGUCGAGCGAACGGACGAGAAGCUUGCUUUUCUGAUGUUAGCGGCGGACGGGUGAGUAACACGUGGAUAACCUACCUAUAAGACUGGGAUAACUUCGGGAAACCGGAGCUAAUACCGGAUAAUAUUUUGAACCGCAUGGUUCAAAAGUGAAAGACGGUCUUGCUGUCACUUAUAGGUGGAUCCGCGCUGCAUUAGCUAGUUGGUAAGGUAACGGCUUACCAAGGCAACGAUGCAUAGCCGACCUGAGAGGGUGAUCGGCCACACUGGAACUGAGACACGGUCCAGACUCCUACGGGAGGCAGCAGUAGGGAAUCUUCCGCAAUGGGCGAAAGCCUGACGGAGCAACGCCGCGUGAGUGAUGAAGGUCUUCGGAUCGUAAAACUCUGUUAUUAGGGAAGAACAUAUGUGUAAGUAACUGUGCACAUCUUGACGGUACCUAAUCAGAAAGCCACGGCUAACUACGUGCCAGCAGCCGCGGUAAUACGUAGGUGGCAAGCGUUAUCCGGAAUUAUUGGGCGUAAAGCGCGCGUAGGCGGUUUUUUAAGUCUGAUGUGAAAGCCCACGGCUCAACCGUGGAGGGUCAUUGGAAACUGGAAAACUUGAGUGCAGAAGAGGAAAGUGGAAUUCCAUGUGUAGCGGUGAAAUGCGCAGAGAUGUGGAGGAACACCAGUGGCGAAGGCGACUUUCUGGUCUGUAACUGACGCUGAUGUGCGAAAGCGUGGGGAUCAAACAGGAUUAGAUACCCUGGUAGUCCACGCCGUAAACGAUGAGUGCUAAGUGUUAGGGGGUUUCCGCCCCUUAGUGCUGCAGCUAACGCAUUAAGCACUCCGCCUGGGGAGUACGACCGCAAGGUUGAAACUCAAAGGAAUUGACGGGGGCCCGCACAAGCGGUGGAGCAUGUGGUUUAAUUCGAAGCAACGCGAAGAACCUUACCAAAUCUUGACAUCCUUUGACAACUCUAGAGAUAGAGCCUUCCCCUUCGGGGGACAAAGUGACAGGUGGUGCAUGGUUGUCGUCAGCUCGUGUCGUGAGAUGUUGGGUUAAGUCCCGCAACGAGCGCAACCCUUAAGCUUAGUUGCCAUCAUUAAGUUGGGCACUCUAAGUUGACUGCCGGUGACAAACCGGAGGAAGGUGGGGAUGACGUCAAAUCAUCAUGCCCCUUAUGAUUUGGGCUACACACGUGCUACAAUGGACAAUACAAAGGGCAGCGAAACCGCGAGGUCAAGCAAAUCCCAUAAAGUUGUUCUCAGUUCGGAUUGUAGUCUGCAACUCGACUACAUGAAGCUGGAAUCGCUAGUAAUCGUAGAUCAGCAUGCUACGGUGAAUACGUUCCCGGGUCU
This 1372-nucleotide ribosomal RNA is filed under the name uncultured bacterium. RNAcentral's name for it is "bacterial SSU rRNA". It matches the Rfam family "Bacterial small subunit ribosomal RNA", at positions 28 to 1381 of the family's 1533-position model. The record is from RNAcentral.